Molecule: long non-coding RNA, 882 nt
Filed under: Olea europaea subsp. europaea
Lineage: Eukaryota; Viridiplantae; Streptophyta; Magnoliopsida; Lamiales; Oleaceae
Source: RNAcentral
UGGUACAUAUUACAUCCUAUCCUAUUCCAAAAACAAAGAUAGCUAGGUAAGAUAGUGUCUAGUCUUCUGUUUCUUCUGGAUCCUCAUCGGGGUCUUCCUCUGGGUCUUCCUCUAACAUGCUUUGCUCCGAUCUAUCUGGUAAUGGUAUGGAAAAACUUUCAUUUAGAAUUCUCGAAAAGCACUUAGCCAACGGUCCCUUAACUAGUCUAGAAUUGGUAGCUCGUAAACUGGUAUUCAUGGAUAAGGUUAUAGUCUUCUUAAAGUUUCGCUGUAAAUCACGGCUAAUUCCAUAACUUUCCCGAAGCAAAUAUGUAAGGUCCUCAUACGAAAGGUCAUCGUCAGACCAUAGCACAAUCUCAUUUAUGACUGAGGCCCAAGGUUCUGGAACAGUUUCAUAUAACCUUUGUAUCUUCACCUUAUCCCUUAAACUAUGGUGUAUCUCCCAUAACAUCCCAAUAAUACAGUCUAGCAGGUCCAAAUGUUGUUUGAGACUAUGGAGCGGAUGCAUACGAUAAUUAUAGUAAAAUGCCAAUAAUAUGUCCCGCUUCUUCGCAAAACCACAAGCUUCUGUCCUUGUGGGGGUUCUUACCAUUCGUGCCAUAAUUAGGACAAACAUUGAUUAUGUUACUCUACAAGGUUCUCAUAAAUAUUUAGAUAUAAGUGUUUAUGACUUCGUAAUCUCAAUCAUGACUUGAUUAAAAAUAUUCCCAUAUCCAGCCAUAGAUAUAACAGUUCGUUACAUAAAAAAAACUCAUAAAUUUAAAAAUAAAUUUUACCUUGACCGUUGGUUGAAAGUCAGUUGCUAGCUUCCUCGAUGAUGAAGGAUAGUAACUUUCUUUUAAAAAAACGUCUACAGAAAAGUAAACCUUGCUCUGAUACCAC